AAGUCGUAACAAGGUAUCCGUAGGUGAACCUGCGGAUGGAUCAUUAUGGAUGGAUGGAUAGGAUGUGAGUGGUUAUUAAUAGUUUGAGUGGUGUUGGUUGGGAUGCUUGCAGGCCAGCCAACAUUGCCUCACGUUAAACUCUAUAAAUCUAAACAACAAUUACAACAAAAAACAACUUUUAGCAACGGAUCUCUUGGCUCUC
This 202-nucleotide unclassified non-coding RNA is filed under the name fungal sp. RNAcentral's name for it is "partial internal transcribed spacer region". The stretch from base 1 to 46 matches the Rfam family "Eukaryotic small subunit ribosomal RNA", at positions 1786 to 1831 of the family's 1831-position model. Lineage: Eukaryota; Fungi. The record is from RNAcentral.